CCUGCGCCGAAAAUGUACCGGGGCUAAACUGAACACCGAAGCUGUGGAUGUCUAAGGACAUGGUAGGAGAGCGUUCUAAGGACGGCGAAGCAUGAUCGUGAGGACAUGUGGAGUGCUUAGAAGUGAGAAUGCCGGUAUGAGUAGCGAAAGACGGGUGAGAAUCCCGUCCACCGAAUAACUAAGGUUUCCUGGGGAAGGCUCGUCCUCCCAGGGUUAGUCGGGACCUAAGCCGAGACCGAAAGGUGUAGGCGAUGGCCAACAGGUUGAGAUUCCUGUACUUGUCUGAUUUGUUUGAGCAAUGGAAGGACACAGGAGGCUAAGCAGAGCGCGGAGAUGGAAAAACGCGUCCAAGCAACAAGUCUGAUGUUGAGUAAAAGGCUUAACAUCCUAAGGAUGAGUUGUGACGGGGAGGGAAGUUUAGUACCGAAGCUGCUGAUGUCACACUGUCAAGAAAAGUUUCUAGUGAGAAUCAGACAACCCGUACCGCAAACCGACACAGGUAGUUGAGGAGAGAAUCCUAAGGUGAGCGAGCGAACUCUCGUUAAGGAACUCGGCAAAAUGACCCCGUAACUUCGGGAGAAGGGGUGCUGGCCGU
This 595-nucleotide ribosomal RNA is filed under the name Aerococcus sp. HMSC072A12. Its description in RNAcentral is "bacterial LSU rRNA". It matches the Rfam family "Bacterial large subunit ribosomal RNA", at positions 1158 to 1758 of the family's 2925-position model. Lineage: Bacteria; Bacillati; Bacillota; Bacilli; Lactobacillales; Aerococcaceae. The record is from RNAcentral.